Molecule: unclassified non-coding RNA, 930 nt
Filed under: Hevea brasiliensis (rubber tree)
Lineage: Eukaryota; Viridiplantae; Streptophyta; Magnoliopsida; Malpighiales; Euphorbiaceae
Source: RNAcentral
AAAAAAUGGAGGCUUCUCUUUGUUAAGCUAAUUCACAGUUUUGUGGAACGUCUUCGUCACUUUGGGCUCUACCCAAAUUGCUGUUGUUGCAUCAUUACGGCCUGAGGUGCAGGAUGAGUAAGAAGAAAAACCCUCUUGUAUUCUUAGAUGUAUCAGUUGAUGGAGAUGCUGCAGAAAAAAUUGUUAUUGAGCUCUUUGCAGAUACUGUUCCAAGAACUGCAGAAAAUUUCCGGUCGCUCUGCACAGGUGAGAAGGGAGUUGGAGUAUCUACUGGAAAACCUCUGCACUACAAAGGAUGCUUAUUUCACCGUGUAAUAAAAGGGUUUAUGGCACAAGGUGGUGAUUUCUCCAAAGGGAAUGGCACUGGUGGAGAGAGUAUAUAUGGAGGGAAAUUUCCAGAUGAGAACUUCAAAGUUGCCCACGCGGAGGCUGGUCUUCUCUCAAUGGCAAAUAGUGGUCCUAAUACAAAUGGAUCCCAGUUCUUCAUUAUAUUUAAGAGAACUCCCCAUCUCGACGGGAAGCAUGUUGUUUUUGGAAAAGUUGUAAAGGGAAUGGAUUUAGUGAAGAAAAUUGAACAGCUGGGAACAGACAGUGGGAAGCCAUCUGGGCUUGUGAAAAUUGUGGAUUGCGGCGAACUGUCUGAGAAGAAAAGUAAUGAUACACCCAAAGCAGAGAAAGGGAAAAAUAAGAAGUCCGUGAGAGCUCUUUCCUCUGAUGAUGAUUCAGACAGUCAAGAAAAGGGGAAAAGCAAAUCAUCCACCAAUAGAAGGAAAAAGAAAAAGAGGAGAUACUCUUCAUCUGAUUCUUACAGUUCUGAGACAGAUACUGAUUCCUCUUCAGACUCUGAUUCAGAUUCUAAGCUGGACUCCUAUUCUUCUAGUUCUUCAGGUGAUGAAAGGCGUAAGAAGAGGAAGAGGUCAACUAAGAAAG